UGCAAGUCGAGCGAGCGGAACCAACAGAUUUACUUCGGUAAUGACGUUGGGAAAGCGAGCGGCGGAUGGGUGAGUAACACGUGGGGAACCUGCCCCUAAGUCUGGGAUACCAUUUGGAAACAGGUGCUAAUACCGGAUAAUAAAGCAGAUCGCAUGAUCAGCUUUUGAAAGGCGGCGUAAGCUGUCGCUAAGGGAUGGCCCCGCGGUGCAUUAGCUAGUUGGUAAGGUAACGGCUUACCAAGGCGACGAUGCAUAGCCGAGUUGAGAGACUGAUCGGCCACAUUGGGACUGAGACACGGCCCAAACUCCUACGGGAGGCAGCAGUAGGGAAUCUUCCACAAUGGACGCAAGUCUGAUGGAGCAACACCGCGUGAGUGAAGAAGGGUUUCGGCUCGUAAAACUCUGUUGUUGAAGAAGAACGUGCAUGAGAGUAACUGUUCAUGCANUGACGGNAUUCAACCAGAAAGUCACGGCUAACUAC
This 481-nucleotide ribosomal RNA is filed under the name uncultured bacterium. RNAcentral's name for it is "bacterial SSU rRNA". It matches the Rfam family "Bacterial small subunit ribosomal RNA", at positions 56 to 504 of the family's 1533-position model. The record is from RNAcentral.